This 267-nucleotide ribosomal RNA is filed under the name uncultured bacterium. RNAcentral describes it as "partial 16S ribosomal RNA". It matches the Rfam family "Bacterial small subunit ribosomal RNA", at positions 91 to 354 of the family's 1533-position model. The record is from RNAcentral.
CGGACCGGCGCACGGGUGAGUAACACGUAUGGAACCUGCCCUAUACAGGGGGAUAAGCGGAAGAAAUUCCGUCUAAUACCGCAUAACACCAUUUGGAGACAUCUCCAGGGGGUCAAAGGAGGCGACUCCGGCAUAGGAUGGCCAUGCGUCGCAUUAGCUAGUCGGCGGGGUAACGGCCCACCGAGGCGACGAUGCGUAGGGGUUCUGAGAGGAAGGUCCCCCACACUGGUACUGAGACACGGACCAGACUCCUACGGAAGGCAGCAG